RNAcentral lists this ribosomal RNA (512 nucleotides) under uncultured bacterium. Its description in RNAcentral is "partial 16S ribosomal RNA". It matches the Rfam family "Bacterial small subunit ribosomal RNA", at positions 356 to 862 of the family's 1533-position model. The record is from RNAcentral.
UGGGAAUUUUGGACAAUGGGCGCAAGCCUGAUCCAGCAAUGCCGCGUGCAGGAUGAAGGCCUUCGGGUUGUAAACUGCUUUUGUACGGAACGAAAAGCCUCUCUCUAAUACAGGGGGUGAUGACGGUACCGUAAGAAUAAGCACCGGCUAACUACGUGCCAGCAGCCGCGGUAAUACGUAGGGUGCAAGCGUUAAUCGGAAUUACUGGGCGUAAAGCGUGCGCAGGCGGUUUUGUAAGACAGUGGUGAAAUCCCGGGCUCAACCUGGGAACUGCCAUUGUGACUGCAAGGCUGGAGUGCGGCAGAGGGGGAUGGAAUUCCGCGUGUAGCAGUGAAAUGCGUAGAUAUGCGGAGGAACACCGAUGGCGAAGGCAAUCCCCCUGGGCCUGCACUGACGCUCAUGCACGAAAGCGUGGGGAGCAAACAGGAUUAGAUACCCUGGUAGUCCACGCCCUAAACGAUGUCAACUGGUUGUUGGGGAUUUAUUUCUUCAGUAACGAAGCUAACGCGUAA